UACGGGGGGGGCAAGCGUUGUUCGGAAUUACUGGGCGUAAAGGGCUUGUAGGUGGCCAACUAAGUCAGACGUGAAAGCCCCCGGCUCAACCGGGGAGGGCGGCUGCAAACUGGGCGUCUUGAGGGGGAUAGAGGAGAGUGGAAUUCCUGGUGUAGCGGUGAAAUGCGUAGAGAUCAGGAGGAACACCCGUGGCGAAGGCGGCUCUCUGGGUCCGCCCUGACGCUGAGGCGCGAAAGCGUGGGGAGCGAACGGG
RNAcentral lists this ribosomal RNA (253 nucleotides) under uncultured bacterium. Its description in RNAcentral is "partial 16S ribosomal RNA". It matches the Rfam family "Bacterial small subunit ribosomal RNA", at positions 524 to 776 of the family's 1533-position model. The record is from RNAcentral.